AUUGAACGCUGGCGGCAGGCUUAACACAUGCAAGUCGAGCGAGCGGCGGACGGGUGAGUAAUGUCUGGGAAACUGCCUGAUGGAGGGGGAUAACUACUGGAACCGGUAGCUAAUACCGCAUACCAUCAGAUGUGCCCAGAUGGGAUUAGCUAGUAGGUGGGGUAAUGGCUCACCUAGGCGACGAUCCCUAGCUGGUCUGAGAGGAUGACCAGCCACACGGGAAGUUAGCCACGGUCCAGGCUCCUACGGGAGGCAGCAGGGGGGAAUAUUGCACAAUGGGCGGAAGUCUGAUGCAGCCAGGCCGCGUGUGUGAAGAAGGCCUUCGGGGUGUAAAGCACGUUCAGCGAGGAGGCGUUACUCGCAGAAGAAGCACCGGCUAACUCCGUGCCAGCAGCCGCGGUAAUAC
Molecule: ribosomal RNA, 406 nt
Filed under: uncultured bacterium
Lineage: Bacteria
Description: partial 16S ribosomal RNA
Rfam family: Bacterial small subunit ribosomal RNA
Source: RNAcentral